UGUGAUGUCAGGCGGGUUUCGGG
This 23-nucleotide non-coding RNA is filed under the name Mus musculus (house mouse). Lineage: Eukaryota; Metazoa; Chordata; Mammalia; Rodentia; Muridae. The record is from RNAcentral.